CCUACGGGUGACUGCAGUGAGGACUAUUGGUCAAUGGGCGCAAGCCUGAACCAGCCCAGUCGCGUGAGGGAAGACUGCCCUAUGGGUUGUAAACCUCUUUUGUCAGGGAGCAACGCCGGCUACGUGUAGCCGGACUGAGAGUACCUGUAGAAAAAGCAUCGGCUAACUCCGUGCCAGCAGCCGCGGUAAUACGGAGGAUGCGAUCGUUAUCCGGAUUUAUUGGGUUUAAAGGGUGCGUAGGCGGAAUGCCAAGUCAGCGGUAAAAUCGCGGGGCUCAACCUCGCUCCGCCGUUGAAACUGGCGGUCUUGAGUGGGCGAGAAGUAUGCGGAAUGCGUGGGGUAGCGGUGAAAUGCAUAGAUAUCACGCAGAACUCCGAUUGCGAAGGCAGCAUACCGGCGCCCAACUGACGCUGAAGCACGAAAGCGUGGGUAUCGAACAGGAUUAGAUACCCUGGUAGUC
This 460-nucleotide ribosomal RNA is filed under the name uncultured bacterium. RNAcentral describes it as "partial 16S ribosomal RNA". It matches the Rfam family "Bacterial small subunit ribosomal RNA", at positions 338 to 795 of the family's 1533-position model. The record is from RNAcentral.